GGGGAUUUAGCUCAGCGGUAGAGCGCUUCCCUAGCAAGCACAAGGCCCUGGGUUCGAUCCCCAGCUCCG
RNAcentral lists this transfer RNA (69 nucleotides) under Rattus norvegicus (Norway rat). It matches the Rfam family "tRNA". Rfam says of the family: Transfer RNA (tRNA) molecules are approximately 80 nucleotides in length. Their secondary structure includes four short double-helical elements and three loops (D, anti-codon, and T loops). The record is from Rfam by way of RNAcentral. Lineage: Eukaryota; Metazoa; Chordata; Mammalia; Rodentia; Muridae.